CGGCAACAGCUCAAAUUUGAAAUCUGACGCUUGCGUCCGAGUUGUAAUUUGUAGAGGGUGCCUCGGGUUGAAGGUCGGUCCAAGUUCCUUGGAACAGGAUACCGAAGAGGGUGAGAGUCCCGUCUCCGGCCGACGCUGACGCCCGUGUGAGGCCCCUUCGAC
This 162-nucleotide ribosomal RNA is filed under the name Melnikomyces sp. RNAcentral's name for it is "partial large subunit ribosomal RNA". It matches the Rfam family "Eukaryotic large subunit ribosomal RNA", at positions 99 to 261 of the family's 3401-position model. Lineage: Eukaryota; Fungi; Ascomycota; Dothideomycetes; Venturiales; Sympoventuriaceae. The record is from RNAcentral.